GGAAAUUUCCUUGGAGGUGCUUGGCAAACUAAGGCCUUAUCCGCCACCAUUAAUUCUUGAUUCCCCCGUAGAGAGAACACCUCCUACUGCAAUCUCUGGACCGGGAAUAACAGCGGCUGCAUGUUUCGAUUAAACUAAGAACCUGUCCUGCCCUGGGCCUCUUCCUUACUCUGUCUCUUGUUCUGCGCUGUGCCCAUAGCUGGUGCAUAAUGAGGGCACAUGGGUUAAUGAGCCACUCUCAUUGUUGACCCCCCUCGUCUGUGUGGCACCCUGCUUUUCCUUACGUUGCCUCUGCAGUUCAGUUUCACUCAGCCUUCAACUAUCACAGUUAGAUCUGCUCCCUGCUCAGACAUGCCCAAACCCUUUAAUCUCAGGAUCCUUUCUCCGUUCCAUCAGGAGCAGAUGUGACUGCUGGUUGCAAGCUGUCAGGGAACCGUGCAGCCUGGCAUGAAGCUUGCGGCCCCAGGAUGAAGCCCCUGCCGUUCCUCUGUCUCUGCGCUUCCGUCCUGGGCAGACUCCGUGCAGCACUUGCCCUUCUCAGUCCGGUUCCUGGUGUCCACAGGGUCCCUUUGUGGGUCCACCUUUAUCUCUUCCAGGGGACGGCAGAUCCUAUGCUUUCCUCAAGUGCACAGUCACUGCCGUCCUGUCUCAGUUCAUCUCCAGUGCUAAAGGCACGAUGAAUUUUAAAAUGCUUCUCCUGUCCAUCGCAUCCUCCUGCCUCCCACCAGUGUUCCAGUGCCGCUGGCACCUGCCAAGGUACUGCCAGUGACCGAAGCAGUGGAGCAAGGGUUUUAAGGCAUCGGAGCUGCUGCUCUGCACUGCCGUGUGCUGUGUCCCCUGCCUUCCCAUCUAAGUCACCAAGCGGGUGCAUGCCUCCGUGCAGAGGGACGCUGAACCGCUGGCGGCUCCCGCACAGGUCGUGUCUCAGUUCUGUGCCUGUGUCCCAUGGACCGCUCUGCCUGAAUGCCUUUCCCGCCCUCGGGGAGCCGCACGGCAAGCACAGGCAUUUACCUAGAGGGCAGGGAGAGACAGCCCUAAAGGCUCUGCAGGGCCUGGUGCUGGUGGCUGUGGCUCUCUCCGUUCCUGGGUGCUGUGCCAUGUGGUGGCACAAAGGGCCAGGGGCUAUGAGGAUGACCAGGAAUGCUGUCAGGACUUCCUUUCUCACGUACCCUCAAUGCACGGCGCCUGAGCAAGCAUCUGCUCAGUGGAACACAAAAGACACGAUCUGUCCCAGGACUUUUCCCGUCCCACCUCCCUCGACGCCGCCGCCGCGCUGGAUUCCUCUCUGGCUGAGAGACUCUGCCUCUGUACGGUCUCAUUUAAAAUGCAAAUGCCUGGGCGGUCCCUUUGUGGCUCAGCAGUUAAGGACCACGACGUUCGUUGCCUCUGUGAGGAUGAGGGCUGAAUCCCUGGGCUGUCUCAGGGGGUUAAGCAUCUGGCGUGGCUGAAAGCUGUGGUGCAGGCCCCAGGCGUGGCUUGGUCCAGGUUGCCAUGGGUGUGGCGUAGGCUGCAUCUGCAGCUCCAAUUUGACCCCUGGCCCAGGAACUUCCAUAUGCCGCAGGUGUGGCCAUAAGACAACAAAACAAAGAAAAAAAAA
RNAcentral lists this long non-coding RNA (1597 nucleotides) under Sus scrofa (pig). RNAcentral describes it as "lncRNA (ENSSSCG00015060708.1)". Lineage: Eukaryota; Metazoa; Chordata; Mammalia; Artiodactyla; Suidae. The record is from RNAcentral.